CGGAUGAAGUGCGCACUGAUGAUAGGGAGAGAGACAAUAGAGGCUCUGGUCUAGGUUAGCCCGGCGGGGAGGGUAGGGGAGGUGUCGGUCGGUGGCAGCGCUAAACCUCCGGAGGCUGGUCUAGAAGGAGGGUUGGUGCUGAACCCAACGCGAGGGGGCAGCUCGCUCGGGGUUGUGCCGACGACCGCACGACCGGCAGCUCGCUCGGGGUGGUGCCGCUGCUCGGCUGCUGGUGGUGGAAGAGGAAGGGGAGGAGGCCGGUCUAGGUGGGCCACGGGGAGGCUGCGAACUGCAAGUAUAGGUAUGGCUCGUCCGCAACACCCGAACGUUUUAAUCACGCUGAUGGAUGUCCGGCCACACCACCUUGAACCUAGUACAUCUUGAGAUCGGUACGUUAAAACAACAGCCACAGUACCUAAAAAAUAUCAAACAAACAAAGAAGGUCGAGAGGAAAGAUGGAUGUUUAAAGACAGACACAAUAUUUUGAGGUCACGAUGAUGCUACCUAGAAGCUAGAGGAUCUUACGGUAGUGAACGCUGGAAACAACAGCCAACAAGCCACUAUACCUAAACACGAUGUUCGGCAACUGGAGUCUAAAACAAAAGACUAGAGUGAAGCAUAAGAGCACACACACGUAGGGAGGCCGCCGACGGCAGCUUCCUUUAACUACGUACACGUAUAAGUCUAAGAACACACGGAUCAUAUGGAAAGACAAUCAACUUCACUUGGCAUCAGUGGAUUAAGUUUACAAUAACAUAACACUCCUUGAUAAAUAAAAAACAGAAGUUGAUAACUUCUUUUACAUAGUCUUGACUUCUUGACUUC
RNAcentral lists this ribosomal RNA (825 nucleotides) under Triticum aestivum (bread wheat). RNAcentral's name for it is "partial small subunit ribosomal RNA". Lineage: Eukaryota; Viridiplantae; Streptophyta; Magnoliopsida; Poales; Poaceae. The record is from RNAcentral.